Molecule: non-coding RNA, 1650 nt
Organism: Myodes glareolus (Bank vole)
Lineage: Eukaryota; Metazoa; Chordata; Mammalia; Rodentia; Cricetidae
Source: RefSeq, a predicted model, not a curated record
CCCUGAGCGCUCUUUUAGCGAACGGAAGGGUUGCUGCAUUUCGCGCGUGCCCGGGACGCCAUCGCGGGCCUCACCCCUCGGGCUCUGCAGGAGAAAAGGGAAAAGCUGCCCUGCGGCCGACCCUGAGUAGUCAUUUCAUCAGCUCAGACAAGACCGCGCCAUGAAGCAGCCAAAUCUGUUUUAACUACAGCACAACAGCACAUAACUCCAAGACUCCUGACAGUCCAUGGAAUGAAGGAUGGAUACCAGGAGUUACUCAGGGAACCCCAAUCCCGCAGCCAUAAAGCUAAAUAAAGACCUUCUACAGAUAACCCUAGGACAGUCCUGUCCUCCGAGGGUCGUAGAGAGCUCUUCCUAAAUCGAGGUGUAGCUCAGGGGUUGUGGUGGUUAGUGUUGUCAAGCUGACUUGCUCUGGAUUCACCUGGACAGAGAAUCACCAUGACUGUCAGAUCACGCUGGUCUGUGGAGAGGUAGGAAGACCUGCCCACUGUGGGUGGCACUAUUCCUGGGCAAGGGACCCGGGAAAGGAGAGUUGAGCCCUAGCUUGUGUGCAUUCGUUCCCUGUUCUCUGCUCUUGACUGUGGGUGUAGUGUGACCAGCUGUUUCCAGUUCCUGCCAUAUUGACUUCCCACAGUGAUGGACUGUCACUGGGAAUUCAGAUACAGAGACAAGGCACCUGGCAUCUGAAUCUCAGCCAAUCCACAGGCUUCCUAACCUUGAGGGCAGAAGAAAGGGAUCUUAAUAUCGUUGCCACUUUUAGGUGGACCUAAGAUCCCAUCUGAUGAGCUCACGCCAGCCAGUGGAAGAGAUACACGAGCUUGGGGCUCAAAAGGGUAUGUACUCUGAAGAUGAAAUCAUAAACGAGGACAUCUGAUGUGUGUCUCAUACACAAUGAGCAAAGGGAGGCUGCUGACGGAAAUGUCACACGCAGCUGCUUUGAGAGCUCGCUCUCCCCCGUGCUGCUCCGCCCCGCCCUCUUCCUGCGUGCCAGUCAUUUGGGGCUCGCUGUUCUCAUCCUGCGUGCUUUGAAGCGGGCUGUAAAUUGAUAGCUGUUACUGCAGUCUCUUCAUGGUUGGUUGAUGUGCCUGAUGGGGCUAUAAGAAAAACUGGCUCGGCUACAGUUUGAGUCACGGAGGAAGAUUUACCUCGGGAGAGACUUGCCUGCAGUGCCCUGAACAGUUAAAAGUGCUGCCUGUGGUUCCCAUUACACUGUUCAUCAACGUACUCAGAACAAACUGUUUUCUCCUACAACUUCCUCAGUUGUUCAACUAAAGCCUGCAGCCCUGUGUGAAUUAAUGAGUUGGGGAACAGGCUGUUUCCUCCAACCUUGAGCUCUCUCCCCUCUACUUUUCCAUCGCUCAGCCCUCCUUUUUGGGAUUUAAGUUGAGAAACUUGCACAUUUUGAAGACAUCUUUCCUAACCCGACUGCUUAAAACGAGGAUGACUCACUAUCUCCCUCUGUAGCACUCAGUCUUGGUUUUUACAACCGAUGUUAGGCUCACUUCCUAGGAAUUGUUCGGUGUUUGUCUUCGCUAUCAGAUUGUGAGUUUCAUGAAGGGUGAAAUUGUGCCUGUCUGCGUCUUGACUCUCCAGCACCAUGUUCCCUGCGUCACCAAGUUCGUUCGGGGAAUAAAUGAGUGAUAAAUUCUA